This 440-nucleotide ribosomal RNA is filed under the name uncultured bacterium. RNAcentral describes it as "partial 16S ribosomal RNA". It matches the Rfam family "Bacterial small subunit ribosomal RNA", at positions 338 to 795 of the family's 1533-position model. The record is from RNAcentral.
CCUACGGGAGGCAGCAGUGGGGGAUAUUGCACAAUGGGGGGAACCCUGAUGCAGCGACGCCGCGUGGGUGAAGAAGCGCCUCGGCGCGUAAAGCCCUGUCAUCAGGGAAGAAAAUGACGGUACCUGAAGAAGAAGCCCCGGCUAACUACGUGCCAGCAGCCGCGGUAAUACGUAGGGGGCAAGCGUUGUCCGGAUUUACUGGGUGUAAAGGGUGCGCAGACGGCGAUGCAAGCCAGGAGUGAAAGCCCGGGGCUUAACCCGUGGACUGCUCUUGGAACUGCGUGGCUGGAGUGCAGGAGGGGUAGGCGGAAUUCCUGGUGUAGCGGUGAAAUGCGUAGAUAUCAGGAGGAACACCAGUGGCGAAGGCGGCCUGCUGGACUUCAACUGACGUUGAGGCCCGAAAGCGUGGGGAGCAAACAGGAUUAGAUACCCGGGUAGUC